Non-coding RNA from Physcomitrium patens, 2560 nucleotides. Lineage: Eukaryota; Viridiplantae; Streptophyta; Bryopsida; Funariales; Funariaceae. The record is from RefSeq and is a predicted model, not a curated record.
UUGUUCCCAUCGUCGGUAUUGAAGACCGCAGAGUGAGCGUCGCGAUGAUGGCGGCAAGAUGCCUGGUGCUUAAGCUUCACUGCUCGGCAGGCAUUCCAUUCUCCCUCUUCCCUUCUCGUUGCCUUCCUCCCGAACCUCCCGCGUCGGUGUUUGAAUUCGUCGCCUUGCGCGGCAAGUUGUCAAUCCUCCAGUCCCCGUUUCUUUCGCUGCCCCGUGCAUGAUUCGCGCUGAAAUUCGAAAUGAAUCUUUGAGCGCGGGGGCAGCAGAGCUCUCCUCACAUGGAAGGCAUUUGUCGAGAAUGUGCGAGGAUCUCAUAGGUUUUUCUUUUCUCGCGAGCGCCAGGGUGAUGGCGCUAGUGGAGUUCAUUGUUUCUGCGAGGUCGAGGAGGGAUUCACCGGUCGCGAGGUGGCUCAGGACGGACUUUCUUCUGUACGCAGGAUUGAUGCUGUUUUUUCGGACCUUCCGUGGACCAGCACGGGAAGCUCACCACAUGCCAGGGAUCGUGUGUCCAGAACCAUUGGACGCUGAAUCCUUCUGAAAUUGGUGUCGGUCGAAUCUGAGUUACUUCGUCGCAUCGUUUGCUCGAUUGUCAGUAGAGGCAAUGGAAAUAAACCUGCACGCGAGGCGCACAUUACGACUCUAUGUUGAAGUUCUAUAAUGGAAGAUGUGUAUCCAAGUCAAAUUGAUUUUUACAUUUUAUUCGAGUAUUGCUGCUCUUCACAACUUGGCGGAAGGCUUUCCAUGGGAGUAGAAGCAUUAUGUUCAUCAGCUGGAAAUAAAUAAUGAGAUGAGAAGGAUCACCGUUCUCAACGUCUAAACUUCUGCAUGGGUUGAAGCAGCUACCACUGUGACCCGCUGAAGCGACUUGUCUCGAGGAUGUACACAUUGCUCCUCUGGCGGAUCGUUUUUGGAUGUGGACACUGAAUAAACUUCGUGAUCUUCAGUUGAAGAGGAUAGAAGCAGGCGGUUCAAUUGUGGAUAAGGCCUUUUUAGUGAUCGAGAAAACGAUCAGGCACUUGCACCAAAGAUAUGUAGUAAAGUUGCCGAGCAAGUGUACAGCUUUUAUUUACCUGGGAACUGCACGUAUACAACUAGAUCGAGUUGUUCAUCUAAACUGUCGAGCACUCACGGGUCCUCAAGAUCUGCACUGGUGAGGCGAAGAAGGAAUGGACGCUUCGACUGCCGACGAUUGGAGAACCAAAUCGUCCAUUAUUUAGAUGCCAAGUUCUUAGUUUUGCGAACUUUGGCAUGUAGACUUCUGCCAGGAAGACGUCAGUAGUUCAUGUUGUUUCGUUGCAUGUUCAUACGGAUGUGUUUCUGCUUCAAUCGCUUAUGUAAUUAGUUGUUUUUUUCUACUCCUUUGUGGUCAAACCCAUCUUGAAGUCAGCAAUUAGAAAACCUCCAAGACAUGCUAGGUUAUACGAUUCAAGGAAACCUGUACAUCGUCGGUUGGGAAGACAAGCCUAGACUGGAAUUGAUGGAUCAUCUGUACCUAAAUUUGUGAGGUCCUUAACCAGUAGCUUGUGUGUAGUUCGAAAGAUCCCAUUUUUCGCUCAUCAGCACCACAGCCCAAUCAACUUGUCUCUACUUCCAAGCUGUGCUAGGUUAAUGUUAGGAAAUGCGCGACACAAUCGUAAACGUGAGGCCAGCGUCAUGUUGCUCUUGCUCUGGAAGACGACGGCUUGCAUUUGUGCAAGUGACUUAUCUUUUGAGUCCAAAUAAUAGCAGCACCUAGCUUCAAGGCUUAAUGACCUUUUGGCGCUUUUUAGGAAUUUAGUCUUCAUCAGCCGUUCCUAAUCGAUCUUCACCCUCCAGCCUGAGAGCAUUCCCAUAAUCCCUACCGUUUUUCUGAAGAGGAUGAGGAUUUGGAGUGCAGAAUAGUGUUGGGAUCUCUGUUGGUAGACGAAGCGCACAUUUGCAACACAUUUACUGAAUCAACUAGCUCAAUGCUCUCAGUUUGAGAGUCUAAUUCCGUCGGUGCGUGAGAUUUAUGUUAACAUUGGAUGAUUAUGAUGAUCUCCAAUUGGUGGUAUUAUCAGGCGUGGCUCAAGCAUGAAGUUCUCAUCAGGUUAGUUUGAAACAUCCAACUUGGGUUCGUUGGGUUGCUGGUGGUGUGCGCAACCUGUGCGUCUCGAGUCGGAAUGGGAAAUUUUCUUCCAGCUUUUAUCGACUCCCAUUCUUCUGGUAAGCUUUGCAAUAUUAUUAGCAACAUCCAAGAAAAGGAUGCUUUACCAUUUUCUCUUGUUUGAUCACAUUCAAUUUGUGUAAACUACUGGUGUCACUCAUUGACUUAGCUGUCGCGCAAGAUGGUUCUAUGCUGUUGUGCAGAGCUUGGACACCAAGCUUUUCGCUGUUAAGGAUUUCUCAUGCCGGAGACCAAGUAAUUAUUGAUGUUAUUGCCAAUUAUCAAAUAUACGCUUCAAUUCUACUCUUGUAAUGAUGUAAAGCAUGUGAAGGUCAAAACAUAUAGGUUUUUGAUAAAUAACAUUUUACUAACAAAGUUCAGCUACAUCUUCUAAUAUAAAAGCAUGCCUUCCUAUUUACAAGGCUGUUACUUCAA